This 326-nucleotide ribosomal RNA is filed under the name Graesiella emersonii. RNAcentral's name for it is "SSU rRNA". It matches the Rfam family "Eukaryotic small subunit ribosomal RNA", at positions 595 to 928 of the family's 1831-position model. The record is from RNAcentral. Lineage: Eukaryota; Viridiplantae; Chlorophyta; Trebouxiophyceae; Chlorellales; Chlorellaceae.
UAGCGUAUAUUUAAGUUGUUGCAGUUAAAAAGCUCGUAGUUGGAUUUCGGGUGGGUUCUAGCGGUCCGCCUAUGGUGAGUACUGCUAUGGCCUUCCUUUCUGUCGGGGACGGGCUUCUGGGCUUAAUUGUCCGGGACUCGGAGUCGACGUGGUUACUUUGAGUAAAUUAGAGUGUUCAAAGCAGGCUUACGCCCUGAAUACUUUAGCAUGGAAUAACACGAUAGGACUCUGGCCUAUCUUGUUGGUCUGUAGGACUGGAGUAAUGAUUAAGAGGGACAGUCGGGGGCAUUCGUAUUUCAUUGUCAGAGGUGAAAUUCUUGGAUUUA